This 67-nucleotide transfer RNA is filed under the name Peltospira smaragdina. RNAcentral's name for it is "tRNA-Ala". Lineage: Eukaryota; Metazoa; Mollusca; Gastropoda; Neomphalida; Peltospiridae. The record is from RNAcentral.
GGAACUGUACUUUAAAAUAAAAGAUCUGAUUUGCAUUUAGAAAAUAGGAUUUUUAUCCUUAGUUCCA